This is a non-coding RNA of Rattus norvegicus (Norway rat), 59 nucleotides long. NCBI's taxonomy places the organism in Eukaryota, Metazoa, Chordata, Mammalia, Rodentia, Muridae. The record is from Rfam.
GGGGAUUUAGCUCAGUGGUAGAGCGCUUGCCUAGCAAGCACAAGGCCCUUCAGUCCCCA